This 468-nucleotide ribosomal RNA is filed under the name uncultured bacterium. RNAcentral's name for it is "partial 16S ribosomal RNA". It matches the Rfam family "Bacterial small subunit ribosomal RNA", at positions 28 to 506 of the family's 1533-position model. The record is from RNAcentral.
GAUGAACGCUGGCGGCGUGCUUAACACAUGCAAGUCGAACGGUGAACACGGAGCUUGCUCUGUGGGAUCAGUGGCGAACGGGUGAGUAACACGUGAGCAACCUGCCCCUGACUCUGGGAUAAGCGCUGGAAACGGCGUCUAAUACUGGAUAUGUGACGUGACCGCAUGGUCUGCGUUUGGAAAGAUUUUUCGGUUUGGGAUGGGCGCGCGGCCUAUCAGCUGUUUGGUGAGGGAAUGGCUCACCAAGGCUUCGACGGGUAGCCGGCCUGAGAGGGUGACCGGCCACACUGGAACUGAGAAACGGCCCAGACUGCUACGGGAGGCAGCAGUGGGGAAUAUUGCACAAUGGGCGAAAGCCUGAUGCAGCAACGCCGCGUGAGGGAUGACGGCCUUCGGGUGGUAAACAUAUUUUAGCAGGGAAGAAGCGAAAGUGACGGUACCUGCAGAAAAAGCGCCGGCUAACUACGU